CUCUCUGAUGAGAAGGAGGCCACUGGGCUGAGGCCAACGAAUGAGAAAGAGCCAGCCACGUGGUGAGCAGGGAGAGGGCAUCCCAGGCACUGCGACCAGCACUUGCAAAGGCCCUGGGGCUGGACAGUUCUUGGCGGAGUCUGAGGCAUGCACAGUCCCAAGAAAGACCUGUCCUGGAGUCAGUGACCAAAAUGAGCCAAGGAACAGCCCUCCUCAUCUUGUCUCCUCCCAGCUUCUACCUUGACCAUGAUUCCAUUCCUUCUCACUGUCCAAGUUAUCAGUCAGGCUACACACUCUGCCGGGAACUGGGGAGCAAUUGAAGUUUAUUGAGCAUGGGAAGCACUCUGAGGAAAGUGCUCUAGGCUGCAAGAGUUGGCAACCAGGAUGGUUGGGAGCAGGAGACAGCAGAGCACAAUCAUAGAACUGCUUAUCUGGGAAAGCGUCCCAUCAUUUUCUCUGAAGAAACUGAGGCUCGGAGCAGAGAAGGAUCUUCCUUUGAGCCCCUUGUCACCAUUACCUACCCUCAUAGACAAAGCACAACCCGACCUCUAACACCGUGAACCAGCUUUGCCUGUUUUGUAAUUUAAAUAAAUGGACUCACACG
Molecule: long non-coding RNA, 604 nt
Organism: Symphalangus syndactylus (siamang)
Lineage: Eukaryota; Metazoa; Chordata; Mammalia; Primates; Hylobatidae
Source: RefSeq, a predicted model, not a curated record